UUUGCCUACGGGAGGCAGCAGUGAGGAAUAUUGGUCAAUGGGCGAGAGCCUGAACCAGCCAAGUCGCGUGAAGGAUGACGGCCCUACGGGUUGUAAACUUCUUUUGUCAGGGAGCAAUUGGGUCCACGUGUGGGCUUAGCGAGAGUACCUGAAGAAAAAGCAUCGGCUAACUCCGUGCCAGCAGCCGCGGUAAUACGGAGGAUGCGAGCGUUAUCCGGAUUUAUUGGGUUUAAAGGGUGCGUAGGCGGGACGGUAAGUCAGCGGUAAAAAUGCGGAGCUCAACUCCGUCGAGCCGUUGAAACUGC
RNAcentral lists this ribosomal RNA (305 nucleotides) under uncultured bacterium. RNAcentral's name for it is "bacterial SSU rRNA". It matches the Rfam family "Bacterial small subunit ribosomal RNA", at positions 334 to 636 of the family's 1533-position model. The record is from RNAcentral.